RNAcentral lists this transfer RNA (90 nucleotides) under Nitrospirota bacterium. RNAcentral's name for it is "Nitrospirae bacterium tRNA-Ser". It matches the Rfam family "tRNA". From Rfam's summary of the family: Transfer RNA (tRNA) molecules are approximately 80 nucleotides in length. Their secondary structure includes four short double-helical elements and three loops (D, anti-codon, and T loops). The record is from RNAcentral. RNAcentral also lists the same sequence under 1 other name. Lineage: Bacteria; Pseudomonadati; Nitrospirota.
GGAGAGGUGCGAGAGCGGCCGAAUCGGGCGGUCUCGAAAACCGCUGUCCGGGCAACUGGACCGUGGGUUCAAAUCCCACCCUCUCCGCCA